GGCCUGGUGGUCUAGUAGUAUGAUUCCUUCUUAGGGUAUGCCGUUUGGAGGAGGUCCCGGGUUCAAUUCCCGGCCAGGCCC
RNAcentral lists this transfer RNA (81 nucleotides) under Lentinus tigrinus ALCF2SS1-6. Its description in RNAcentral is "tRNA-Pro". It matches the Rfam family "tRNA". Rfam says of the family: Transfer RNA (tRNA) molecules are approximately 80 nucleotides in length. The record is from RNAcentral. Lineage: Eukaryota; Fungi; Basidiomycota; Agaricomycetes; Polyporales; Polyporaceae.